GGCGAACGCUGGCGGCGUGCUUAACACAUGCAAGUCGAACGGAAACGCCGGCUUUCCUUUGUGGAUUGCGGGUACUCGAGUGGCGAACGGGCGAGUAACACGGGAGUGAUCUGCCCACAACUUGUGUAUAAGCCUGGGAAACUGUGGCUAAUUCUCGACAGGACUGCAGGGUGGUGCCUGUGGUGGAAAACGAUUUUCUAGUGGUUGGGGAUGAGCUCGCGGCUUAUGAGCUUGUUGGUGGGGUAAUGGCCUACCAAGGCGGCGACGGGUAGCCGGCCUGAGAGGGUGGACGGGGACAGUGGGAAUGAGCUACGGCCCAGAAUCCUACGCGCGGCAGCAGUGGGGAAUAUAGGACGCUGGGCGGAAGCCUGAUGCAGCGACGCAGCGUGGGUGAUGACGGGCUUCGGGUGGUAAACUCCUUUCGACCGCGAGGAGGCCAUCUGGUUGGGAGGGUGGUGACGGUAGUGGAAGAAGAAGCACCGGCUAACUACGUG
This 494-nucleotide ribosomal RNA is filed under the name uncultured bacterium. Its description in RNAcentral is "partial 16S ribosomal RNA". It matches the Rfam family "Bacterial small subunit ribosomal RNA", at positions 28 to 507 of the family's 1533-position model. The record is from RNAcentral.